GAUAAACGCUGGCGGCGUGCGUAACACAUGCAAGUCGAACGAGAAUGUACUGACGGAUCCUUAGGGUGAAGAUAGUACAGGACAGUGGCGGAUGGGUGAGUAACGCGUAAGAAACCUGCCUUUCACACCGGGAUAGCAGCUGGAAACGGCUAUUAAUACCGGAUGACACUUUUUCCCCGCAUGAGGAAGAGGUUAAAGAAUUUCGGUGAAAGAUGGUCUUGCGUCUGAUUAGCUAGUUGGUGGGGUAACGGCCUACCAAGGCGACGAUCAGUAGCCGGCCUGAGAGGGUGUACGGCCACAUUGGGACUGAGACACGGCCCAAACUCCUACGGGGAGGCAGCAGUGGGGAAUUUUGCACAAUGGAGGAAACUCUGAUGCAGCGACGCCGCGUGAACGAAGAAGGUC
RNAcentral lists this ribosomal RNA (405 nucleotides) under uncultured bacterium. RNAcentral describes it as "bacterial SSU rRNA". It matches the Rfam family "Bacterial small subunit ribosomal RNA", at positions 28 to 416 of the family's 1533-position model. The record is from RNAcentral.